AACCCCCCCGAAAUGUAGGUUUCCCUGUGAUAUGUUAAUUUCAAAUGUGACAAGAGAAAGGGGAGACAGAGUGAGAUCUUGGAAUCGAGAGAUCAGCCAUGGUGUCCUUGAUGAGCUGAGCUCGGAGCUGCCUUCUUCGCUUAUCCGACCAGGGUUUUCAAGGAAGAAGCAAAAUUAUACAUUUUUCUUGAACUAGCCACUAGAGUCUCUCGCAUCUUUGUAUCGGAAGCAUCACCAGCAAGAUUCCCAAGUCUCUGCAUAUACAAGACAGAUUUUGAAUGGUUUAAGCUAUCUUCAUGAUUGAAAUAUGGUUCUACAGCUAACAAAGUUGGAUAUUUUGAAAUCUUGCAAUGGAAGCAUAUAUUAUAUAUUGGUAGGCUCCAGAGGUAGUUAAUUUUAAAAGAGCAUAUAAUGGGACUGCAUCUGAUAUAUGGUGUCUUGGUUGCUUAGUUUUGGAGAUGUUAACUCAUCAAGUUCCCUAUCCUAAUUUAGAAUGGGUAAGCUUCCUACUUGUUAAAACAUAAUUGCAUUAUUCUGUAAAAUUUUUUCUAUUAUAGUGGUACUAUGGGAAGCAUCAUGUAUGUUUUUCAUUUUCUAAAAGUUAAUACAUGCAUGUGUUAAAAGAUCGCUUUGCGUUUAUUCAGUUAUUGGUUUGAAAUAUUGAAAAAGAUGCUCGCUAUUAAAUAUUAGGCUAUUUAUUGUCUUAA
Dioscorea cayenensis subsp. rotundata (Guinea yam) is the source of this 707-nucleotide long non-coding RNA. RefSeq lists it as uncharacterized. The record is from RefSeq and is a predicted model, not a curated record. Lineage: Eukaryota; Viridiplantae; Streptophyta; Magnoliopsida; Dioscoreales; Dioscoreaceae. The transcript has 4 exons.